UUGAGGAAGAUAAUGACGGUACUCAACAAGGAAGUGACGGCUAACUACGUGCCAGCAGCCGCGGUAAAACGUAGGUCACAAGCGUUGUCCGGAAUUACUGGGUGUAAAGGGAGCGCAGGCGGGAAGACAAGUUGGAAGUGAAAUCCAUGGGCUCAACCCAUGAACUGCUUUCAAAACUGUUUUUCUUGAGUAGUGCAGAGGUAGGCGGAAUUCCCGGUGUAGCGGUGGAAUGCGUAGAUAUCGGGAGGAACACCAGUGGCGAAGGCGGCCUACUGGGCACCAACUGACGCUGAGGCUCGAAAGUGUGGGUAGCAAACAGGAUUAGAUACCCUGGUAGUCCACACCGUAAACGAUGAUUACUAGGUGUUGGAGGAUUGACCCCUUCAGUGCCGCAGUUAACACAAUAAGUAAUCCACCUGGGGAGUACGACCGCAAGGUUGAAACUCAAAGGAAUUGACGGGGGCCCGCACAAGCAGUGGAGUAUGUGGUUUAAUUCGACGCAACGCGAAGAACCUUACCAAGUCUUGACAUCCYGYGACGAUGCUGGAAAYAGUAUUUUYCUUCGGAACGCRGAGACAGGUGGUGCAUGGUUGUCGUCAGCUCGUGUCGUGAGAUGUUGGGUUAAGUCCCGCAACGAGCGCAACCCUUAUGGUCAGUUACUACGCAAGAGGACUCUGGCCAGACUGC
RNAcentral lists this ribosomal RNA (687 nucleotides) under Faecalibacterium prausnitzii. Its description in RNAcentral is "bacterial SSU rRNA". It matches the Rfam family "Bacterial small subunit ribosomal RNA", at positions 439 to 1152 of the family's 1533-position model. Lineage: Bacteria; Bacillati; Bacillota; Clostridia; Eubacteriales; Oscillospiraceae. The record is from RNAcentral.